RNAcentral lists this transfer RNA (76 nucleotides) under Lysobacteraceae bacterium SCN 69-320. RNAcentral describes it as "Xanthomonadaceae bacterium SCN 69-320 tRNA-Thr". It matches the Rfam family "tRNA". From Rfam's summary of the family: Transfer RNA (tRNA) molecules are approximately 80 nucleotides in length. Their secondary structure includes four short double-helical elements and three loops (D, anti-codon, and T loops). Further hydrogen bonds mediate the characteristic L-shaped molecular structure. tRNAs have two regions of fundamental functional importance: the anti-codon, which is responsible for specific mRNA codon recognition, and the 3' end, to which the tRNAs corresponding amino acid is attached (by aminoacyl-tRNA synthetases). tRNAs cope with the degeneracy of the genetic code in two manners: having more than one tRNA (with a specific anti-codon) for a particular amino acid; and 'wobble' base-pairing, i.e. permitting non-standard base-pairing at the 3rd anti-codon position. RNAcentral also lists the same sequence under 5 other names. The record is from RNAcentral. Lineage: Bacteria; Pseudomonadati; Pseudomonadota; Gammaproteobacteria; Lysobacterales; Lysobacteraceae.
GCCGGUUUAGCUCAGUCGGUAGAGCAACUGAUUUGUAAUCAGUAGGUCGCGGGUUCGAUUCCUGCAACCGGCACCA